AGGCUUUCUAGAUUUGCCUUCCUUUGAUAUCUUUUAAUUAUGAGUUGAGUUACAUUUGUGAAUAUUCAUGGCUUUGUCUUUGGUGCGGAGCAGGCUGCCUAGAAUGCCAGACCUGCAGAAUUUUAUUCUCCGAGUUACUCUUACCUACUGCCUGCCUUGUUUCAGGUGAGGAGGCUGUACAUGCUGGCUCAUUCAUGGCCAUGAAGGCAGCAUAGGAAUGGCUUUUUGUGUCCCAUAGGAAGACUUCAUUAAUACAGUUUUCUUGUGCCUGCGUGUACCGAUUCAUCUGUCUUAGACUAAACACUCCAGGAUGCAGCAUCUGUCCUUUCUGUUUAUUAUUGGCCUGCAGAACACAGUGAGUGCUUGGAUAAUGUUUGCUCAAAGUGUCACAAACAAUUAGAGGGAUUAUUAAUACUUCUUCAUUACUACCGAGAUGUUCUACAGAACAAUGGCCGAAGACCCUUACCUGUGUGAUUCAUUAUCUGAUGGGGAGCUCGGUGUUGGGUGGCAACAAAUAGCUCACACUGCUGUGACACAGUACCAUAGACGGGGUGGCUUGAACAGUGGACAUUUAUUUCUCACUGUUCUGGAGUGUGGGAGUCUAAGAUCAAGUGCUGACAGGUUGGU
Long non-coding RNA from Myotis brandtii (Brandt's bat), 627 nucleotides. RefSeq lists it as uncharacterized. The transcript is spliced from 3 exons. Lineage: Eukaryota; Metazoa; Chordata; Mammalia; Chiroptera; Vespertilionidae. The record is from RefSeq and is a predicted model, not a curated record.